This 494-nucleotide ribosomal RNA is filed under the name uncultured bacterium. Its description in RNAcentral is "partial 16S ribosomal RNA". It matches the Rfam family "Bacterial small subunit ribosomal RNA", at positions 28 to 507 of the family's 1533-position model. The record is from RNAcentral.
GACGAACGCUGGCGGCGUGCUUAACACAUGCCAGUCGAACGGAAAGGCCUGCUUUCCCUUGUGGAUUGCGGGUACUCGAGUGGCGAACGGGUGAGUAACACGUGAGUGAUCUGCCCCCAACUUGGGUAUAAGCCUGGGAAACUGGGUCUAAUUCCCGAUAGGACUGCAGGGUGGUGCCUGUGGUGGAAAACGAUUUUCUAGUGGUUGGGGAUGAGCUCGCGGCCUAUCAGCUUGUUGGUGGGGUAAUGGCCUACCAAGGCGGCGACGGGUAGCCGGCCUGAGAGGGUGGACGGCCACAGUGGGACUGAGAUACGGCCCAGACUCCUACGGGAGGCAGCAGUGGGGAAUAUUGCACAAUGGGCGGAAGCCUGAUGCAGCGACGCCGCGUGGGGGAUGACGGCCUUCGGGUUGUAAACUCCUUUCGACCGCGAGGAAGCCACCUGGUUGGAAGGGUGGUGACGGUAGUGGUAGAAGAAGCACCGGCUAACUACGUG